This is a microRNA precursor of Oryza sativa Indica Group (long-grained rice), 183 nucleotides long. It matches the Rfam family "MIR812 microRNA precursor family". NCBI's taxonomy places the organism in Eukaryota, Viridiplantae, Streptophyta, Magnoliopsida, Poales, Poaceae. The record is from Rfam.
AAUAAGUACAGUUUUGCACUAUUCACGUUCAACGUUUGACCGUUCGUCUUAUUUAAUUUUUUUAUUAGUAUUUUUAUUACUAUUAGAUAAUAAAACAUUAAUAGUACUUUAUGUGUGACUAAAUAUUUGUAAAUAAUACGGAUGGUCAAAUAUUGGACACAUAUAUUCACAGCUGUAUUUAUU